Gouania willdenowi (blunt-snouted clingfish) is the source of this 299-nucleotide unclassified non-coding RNA. It matches the Rfam family "Metazoan signal recognition particle RNA". From Rfam's summary of the family: The signal recognition particle (SRP) is a universally conserved ribonucleoprotein. It is involved in the co-translational targeting of proteins to membranes. The record is from Ensembl. Lineage: Eukaryota; Metazoa; Chordata; Actinopteri; Blenniiformes; Gobiesocidae.
GCCGGGUGCGGUGGCGCGCACCUGUAAUCCAAGCUACUGGGAGGCUGAGGCUGGCGGAUCGUUUGAGCUCAGGAGCUCUGAGCUGCAGUGGACUAUGCCGAUCGGGUGUCCGCACUAAGUUCGGUAUCGAUAUGGUGCUCCUGAGGGAGCUCGGGACCACCAGGUCGCCUAAGGAGGGGUGCACCGGCCCAGGCCGGAAACGGAGCAGGUCAAAGCCCCCGUGCCGCUCAGUAGUGGGAUCGCGCCUGUGAAUAGACGCUGUAGUUCAGCCUGAGUAAUACAGCGGGACCCAGUCUUUU